GAUGAACGCUGGCGGCGUGCCUAAUACAUGCAAGUCGAGCGAACGGACGAGAAGCUUGCUUCUCUGAUGUUAGCGGCGGACGGGUGAGUAACACGUGGAUAACCUACCUAUAAGACUGGGAUAACUUCGGGAAACCGGAGCUAAUACCGGAUAAUAUUUUGAACCGCAUGGUUCAAAAGUAAAAGACGGUCUUGCUGUCACUUAUAGAUGGAUCCGCGCUGCAUUAGCUAGUUGGUAAGGUAACGGCUUACCAAGGCAACGAUGCAUAGCCGACCUGAGAGGGUGAUCGGCCACACUGGAACUGAGACACGGUCCAGACUCCUACGGGAGGCAGCAGUAGGGAAUCUUCCGCAAUGGGCGAAAGCCUGACGGAGCAACGCCGCGUGAGUGAUGAAGGUCUUCGGAUCGUAAAACUCUGUUAUUAGGGAAGAACAUAUGUGUAAGUAACUGUGCACAUCUUGACGGUACCUAAUCAGAAAGCCACGGCUAACUACGUGCCAGCAGCCGCGGUAAUACGUANGUGGCAAGCGUUAUCCGGAAUUAUUGGGCGUAAAGCGCGCGUAGCGGUUUUUUAAGUCUGAUGUGAAAGCCCACGGCUCAACCGUGGAGGGUCAUUGGAAACUGGAAAACUUGAGUGCAGAAGAGGAAAGUGGAAUUCCAUGUGUAGCGGUGAAAUGCGCAGAGAUAUGGAGGAACACCAGUGGCGAAGGCGACUUUCUGGUCUGUAACUGACGCUGAUGUGCGAAAGCGUGGGGAUCAAACAGGAUUAGAUACCCUGGUAGUCCACGCCGUAAACGAUGAGUGCUAAGUGUUAGGGGGUUUCCGCCCCUUAGUGCUGCAGCUAACGCAUUAAGCACUCCGCCUGGGGAGUACGACCGCAAGGUUGAAACUCAAAGGAAUUGACGGGGACCCGCACAAGCGGUGGAGCAUGUGGUUUAAUUCGAAGCAACGCGAAGAACCUUACCAAAUCUUGACAUCCUUUGACAACUCUAGAGAUAGAGCCUUCCCCUUCGGGGGACAAAGUGACAGGUGGUGCAUGGUUGUCGUCAGCUCGUGUCGUGAGAUGUUGGGUUAAGUCCCGCAACGAGCGCAACCCUUAAGCUUAGUUGCCAUCAUUAAGUUGGGCACUCUAAGUUGACUGCCGGUGACAAACCGGAGGAAGGUGGGGAUGACGUCAAAUCAUCAUGCCCCUUAUGAUUUGGGCUACACACGUGCUACAAUGGACAAUACAAAGGGCAGCGAAACCGCGAGGUCAAGCAAAUCCCAUAAAGUUGUUCUCAGUUCGGAUUGUAGUCUGCAACUCGACUACAUGAAGCUGGAAUCGCUAGUAAUCGUAGAUCAGCAUGCUACGGGUGAUACGUUCCGGGGUCU
RNAcentral lists this ribosomal RNA (1371 nucleotides) under uncultured bacterium. RNAcentral describes it as "bacterial SSU rRNA". It matches the Rfam family "Bacterial small subunit ribosomal RNA", at positions 28 to 1381 of the family's 1533-position model. The record is from RNAcentral.